RNAcentral lists this ribosomal RNA (882 nucleotides) under uncultured bacterium. RNAcentral's name for it is "bacterial SSU rRNA". It matches the Rfam family "Bacterial small subunit ribosomal RNA", at positions 8 to 871 of the family's 1533-position model. The record is from RNAcentral.
AGAGUUUGAUCCUGGCUCAGGACGAACGCUGGCGGCGUGCCUAAUACAUGCAAGUCGAACGAACCGCGACUGAGUGCUUGCACUUGGUCAAGGUGAGUGGCGAACGGGUGAGUAACACGUGGGUAACCUACCUCAUAGUGGGGGAUAACAGUCGGAAACGACUGCUAAUACCGCAUAGGACAUGGGAUCACAUGAUCCAGUGAGGAAAGGUGGCGCAAGCUAUCGCUAAGAGAUGGACCCGCGGUGCAUUAGCUAGUUGGUAGGGUAACGGCCUACCAAGGCGAUGAUGCAUAGCCGACCUGAGAGGGUGAUCGGCCACAUUGGGACUGAGACACGGCCCAAACUCCUACGGGAGGCAGCAGUAGGGAAUCUUCCGCAAUGGACGCAAGUCUGACGGAGCAACGCCGCGUGAGUGAAGAAGGUCUUCGGAUCGUAAAGCUCUGUUGUUAGAGAAGAACAGCGCAUAGAGUAACUGUUAUGCGUGUGACGGUAUCUAACCAGAAAGCCACGGCUAACUACGUGCCAGCAGCCGCGGUAAUACGUAGGUGGCGAGCGUUGUCCGGAUUUAUUGGGCGUAAAGGGAGUGUAGGCGGUCUUUUAAGUCUGAUGUGAAAGCCCACGGCUCAACCGUGGAGGGUCAUUGGAAACUGGGAGACUUGAGUGCAGAAGAGGAGAGCGGAAUUCCAUGUGUAGCGGUGAAAUGCGUAGAUAUAUGGAGGAACACCAGUGGCGAAGGCGGCUCUCUGGUCUGUAACUGACGCUGAGGCUCGAAAGCGUGGGAGCAACAGGAUUAGAUACCCUGGUAGUCCACGCCGUAAACGAUGAGUGCUAAGUGUGAGGGGUUCCACCCUUCAGUGCUGGAGUAACGCAAUAAGCACUCGG